AUAUAUAUAUAUAUAUAUUUACGGAAAUAAAACAGAAAAGGAAAGUACAAGGAAAAAAGUUUAAUUGAUAAUGAUUAUGAGGAUCAAAACAAAUAUAUUAGCAUGAGGCUUUGGCAAGCCAAUUGAGAAACAUAUUACAAACAUUGCAUACAAGCACAACAUAAUAAGCAUUGCAAAUACGGAGGCAAGAACAUUUAAUGAACGGUCUACUUCAUUCAUUCAUAUAGCAUAAUCAAUACAAUGAGACAAAUAAUCCUCACAUCACUUAUAGGCAGGGGAGGAACCUACAAAGAGUAAAGAGACAGGAGCUUGAUGGACACGAUAGCUAGCUGGGCCCAACAAUAGCCAACUAGUCACUCCCCCUAAAGAGCGUUGGGGACACAACUGAGUGCAGCAAAAGGAUAUAUCACUAUACUUGAGCUAUCACACCCCUAAAAUUACAUAAA
RNAcentral lists this unclassified non-coding RNA (446 nucleotides) under Hevea brasiliensis (rubber tree). Lineage: Eukaryota; Viridiplantae; Streptophyta; Magnoliopsida; Malpighiales; Euphorbiaceae. The record is from RNAcentral.